UAGCUCUAGGACUGUCAUUUAUUAAUAUUGCUGCAUAUUUUGUAAGUAAAAAGCACAAAUUUACGACAAAGUCUUGACAUUUUAAACAUUUCGUUUUCGUUUUAGGGACUAGAGGUAAUACCAGAGCGAUCGGAGUUGACGUACGUAAACGAAAAAUACUUUUAUAAUUUUACCCUUAACGUAAGGCGAUACAGCAGAGCCAGCCCUUACUACUACAACGUUGAAAUUACGACCAAACAGCCAUGGACUAAUAACGUUACGUUUCUUAUUUUCUUUAAUGAGUAUCUUCACAACGAGUAUCAUCGGUCCUUCUUUCAACUACAGCACAGGUUCUGUGAUAUAAUAAAAAAUGACAAGUUUAUGGGAACUAUGUUCAAAUAUUUCGGCUUAGGUUGCCCCAUGCCAGCUGGUACGCUCCGGUUGAUCAACUUUACAAUUGCAAUGGAUAAAUUUCCAAAUGUGUUUCCAUUUCAAAAAUGUCGCAUUGACACCGAACUAAAAAUCACUGCUACAAAUGAAUCAAUGGCCAUGUUUCAUAAUUACGUUACAUUUAAAGAUACGAAACGUGCUGGAUGAUUGAAUAACUCAUUGCAUUAGCAACAUGUAUAUUUUGUGUUAUUACAGAAGAGGAAAACUUUAUUGAUUAUACAAA
Molecule: long non-coding RNA, 652 nt
Organism: Danaus plexippus (monarch butterfly)
Lineage: Eukaryota; Metazoa; Arthropoda; Insecta; Lepidoptera; Nymphalidae
Exons: 3
Source: RefSeq, a predicted model, not a curated record